RNAcentral lists this ribosomal RNA (252 nucleotides) under uncultured bacterium. RNAcentral's name for it is "partial 16S ribosomal RNA". It matches the Rfam family "Bacterial small subunit ribosomal RNA", at positions 525 to 776 of the family's 1533-position model. The record is from RNAcentral.
ACGUAUGGGGCGAGCGUUGUUCGGAAUCAUUGGGCGUAAAGGGCGCGUAGGCGGUUAUGCAAGCUUGGUGUGAAAUCCCACAGCUCAACUGUGGAUCCGCACUGAGAACUGCAUGACUAGAGUUCAAGAGGGGAAGCUGGAAUUCCUGGUGUAGGGGUGAAAUCUGUAGAUAUCAGGAAGAACAUCAGUGGCGAAGGCGAGCUUCUGGCUAUGAACUGACGCUGAGGCGCGAAAGCGUGGGGAGCGAACAGG